GUGCCAGCAGCCGCGGUAAUACGGAGGGGGCUAGCGUUGUUCGGAAUUAUUGGGCGUAAAGGGUCCGCAGGUGGCAGUUCAAGUCUGCAGUCAAAGGUCGGGGCUCAACCCCGGAAAGGCUGUGGAAACUGAACAGCUAGAGUACGGUAGGGGCAGAGGGAAUUCCCAGUGUAGCGGUGAAAUGCGUAGAGAUUGGGAAGAACACCGGUGGCGAAAGCGCGCUGCUAGGCCGAAACUGACACUGAGGGACGAAAGCUAGGGGAGCGAAAGGGAUUAGAUACCCCUGUAGUCCUAGCUGUAAACGAGGGAGACUAGGUGUGGCCUGUAUCGACCCGGGCCGUGCCGGAGCUAACGCGUUAAGUCUCCCGCCUGGGGAGUACGCACGCAAGUGUGGAACUUAAAGGAAUUGACGGGG
This 415-nucleotide ribosomal RNA is filed under the name uncultured prokaryote. RNAcentral's name for it is "bacterial SSU rRNA". It matches the Rfam family "Bacterial small subunit ribosomal RNA", at positions 505 to 918 of the family's 1533-position model. The record is from RNAcentral.